Molecule: ribosomal RNA, 543 nt
Filed under: uncultured bacterium
Lineage: Bacteria
Description: partial 16S ribosomal RNA
Rfam family: Bacterial small subunit ribosomal RNA
Source: RNAcentral
UGGGGAAUUUUGGACAAUGGGUGAAAGCCUGAUCCAGCAAUGCCGCGUGUGUGAAGAAGGCCUUCGGGUUGUAAAGCACUUUUGUCCGGAAAGAAAUCCUUGGCUCUAAUACAGUCGGGGGAUGACGGUACCGGAAGAAUAAGCACCGGCUAACUACGUGCCAGCAGCCGCGGUAAUACGUAGGGUGCAAGCGUUAAUCGGAAUUACUGGGCGUAAAGCGUGCGCAGGCGGUUUGCUAAGACCGAUGUGAAAUCCCCGGGCUCAACCUGGGAACUGCAUUGGUGACUGGCAGGCUAGAGUAUGGCAGAGGGGGGUAGAAUUCCACGUGUAGCAGUGAAAUGCGUAGAGAUGUGGAGGAAUACCGAUGGCGAAGGCAGCCCCCUGGGCCAAUACUGACGCUCAUGCACGAAAGCGUGGGGAGCAAACAGGAUUAGAUACCCCUGGUAGUCCACGCCCUAAAACGAUGUCAACUAGUUGUUGGGGAUUCAUUUCCUUAGUAACGUAGCUAACGCGUGAAGUUGACCGCCUGGGGAGUACGGUCGC